AGGUGUUCUCAGAGUCUGUCAGGUCC
RNAcentral lists this non-coding RNA (26 nucleotides) under Rattus norvegicus (Norway rat). The record is from RNAcentral. Lineage: Eukaryota; Metazoa; Chordata; Mammalia; Rodentia; Muridae.